UUUUUUUUUUUUUUUUUUUUUUUCAGCAACCCACCCCCCUUUUCAGUCUUUAAGUAUGUUACAUCUCAGCAUUGGAUGUCUCAAGUUAGAGGUGGUGUCACUACAAUGUUACAUAUGAUUCCCUAUUUUUAUUUUUUCUACUUUUAGGCAGAAAAAAGGGUUACAGAUGAUUCAUGAUUCACUCUGUAGUAUACAUCUCUUUUUAUUGGUGCAUUUACAAAUCGAACCUUACAAACAUUCUUGAAUAAGUAACAACAUUACAAACAUUCUUGAAUAAGUAACAACAAAAAGAUAUGGAUUUCAGCUGCAACUUAACCCACUGAUCCUUCGAGCUUCAAGCUCAUCAGUUGGUUCAC
This 356-nucleotide unclassified non-coding RNA is filed under the name Hevea brasiliensis (rubber tree). The record is from RNAcentral. Lineage: Eukaryota; Viridiplantae; Streptophyta; Magnoliopsida; Malpighiales; Euphorbiaceae.